CAGCCGCCACGGGAAUACGGAGGGCGCGAGCGUUACCCGGAUUUACUGGGCGUAAAGGGCGUGUAGGCGGCCUGGGGCGUCCCAUGUGAAAGGCCACGGCUCAACCGUGGAGGAGCGUGGGCUACGCUCAGGCUAGAGGGUGGGAGAGGGUGGUGGAAUUCCCGGAGUAGCGGUGAAAUGCGCAGAUACCGGGAGGAACGCCGAUGGCGAAGGCAGCCACCUGGUCCACUUCUGACGCUGAGGCGCGAAAGCGUGGGGAGCAAACCGGAUUAGAUACCCCAGUAGUCCCUGUCUCUUAUAC
This 301-nucleotide ribosomal RNA is filed under the name uncultured bacterium. Its description in RNAcentral is "partial 16S ribosomal RNA". It matches the Rfam family "Bacterial small subunit ribosomal RNA", at positions 509 to 807 of the family's 1533-position model. The record is from RNAcentral.